GACGAACGCUGGCGGCGUGCCUAAUACAUGCAAGUUGAGCGCUGAAGGUUGGUCCUUGUACCAACUGGAUGAGCAGCGAACGGGUGAGUAACGCGUGGGGAAUCUGCCUUUGAGCGGGGGACAACAUUUGGAAACGAAUGCUAAUACCGCAUAAAAACUUUAAACACAAGUUUUAAGUUUGAAAGAUGCAAUUGCAUCACUCAAAGAUGAUCCCGCGUUGUAUUAGCUAGUUGGUGAGGUAAAGGCUAACCAAGGCGAUGAUACAUAGCCGACCUGAGAGGGUGAUCGGCCACAUUGGGACUGAGACACGGCCCAAACUCCUACGGGAGGCAGCAGUAGGGAAUCUUCGGCAAUGGACGAAAGUCUGACCGAGCAACGCCGCGUGAGUGAAGAAGGUUUUCGGAUCGUAAAACUCUGUUGGUAGAGAAGAACGUUGGUGAGAGUGGAAAGCUCAUCAAGUGACGGUAACUACACAGAAAGGGACGGCUAACUACGUG
Molecule: ribosomal RNA, 497 nt
Filed under: uncultured bacterium
Lineage: Bacteria
Description: partial 16S ribosomal RNA
Rfam family: Bacterial small subunit ribosomal RNA
Source: RNAcentral